UUUCUAAACAUGUAUUUAUACAAUCCAUAAAAAAUGAAAACAUCUCUAUCUUUUUUUGUUUUCUCUUAAACCUUUCAAUAUACAUUAAAAUAUUCCAACCAAUUUACAAAGAAGAAGGCGACGCUCAAAUGAGCAAACACUUGCCUUCAAAAUCAUUACCAAAGUUGAACAGCGCGUUCUCUCAAACAGAUCUAGAAACGAACAAGGACCGACGAGCGGAACCUCAGUUGGAAGCGAAGACUCGAAUGACAGAUGACGAACUAACCAAUUUCCGGCGAAGCUCGCUGGCGACAGAGUUGACACGGAAAAGACGAGAGAGUGAGAGGAGUUUGGAAGGAUGAGGCUGUCUCCCUAUUUUUGUCUUCUUCUUAUCAGUUUUUUUCCGCUAGGUCAGCUGGAGUGUGGUUGUUGGUUCGUUUCCGGCGGCUACUGGUUCUGUGAAGGGGAAAUAGGUUGAAGAAGAAAGAGGAUGCCUGUUGGUUUGGUGAGAGGUGAAGAUGAAGGUCCUUGGUUUUUUGUGUGUCUAGAAGAUCACAUUUAGGGUGUGUCUGUUAGGUUUUUGCUAGGUUUCAGAAGAAGAAGCUUAGCUUCUAAAAAUGGAAAACGACUGUGUGUACUGAUAAAAAGACGCAUGUGGUUAUUGCUCUUGUGUCUGGUCUAGGUUUAUAGAGCUUCAUGAAGAAGAAGCUCAUGGGGGUUUGUCCCUUAUGCGGCUGUAAGGUCUUUAGGGUUUCUUGGUUAAGUCCUUUGCUUC
This 754-nucleotide long non-coding RNA is filed under the name Nicotiana benthamiana. RNAcentral's name for it is "long non-coding RNA (NBEN_LNC021204)". Lineage: Eukaryota; Viridiplantae; Streptophyta; Magnoliopsida; Solanales; Solanaceae. The record is from RNAcentral.